Molecule: ribosomal RNA, 494 nt
Filed under: uncultured bacterium
Lineage: Bacteria
Description: partial 16S ribosomal RNA
Rfam family: Bacterial small subunit ribosomal RNA
Source: RNAcentral
GACGAACGCUGGCGGCGUGCUUAACACAUGCAAGUCGAACGGAAAGGCCUUCUUUCCCUUGUGGAUUGCGGUGACUCAAGUGGCGAACGGGUGAGUAACACGUGAGUUAGCUUCCCCCAACUUGUGUAUAAGCCUGGGAAACUGGGUCUAAUUCCCGAUAGUACUGCAGUGUGGUGCCGGUGGUUGAAACCGAUGUGCUUGUAGUUGCGGAUGAGCUCUCGGCCUGUCAGCUUGUUGGUGGGGUAAUGGCCUACCAAGGCGGGGACGGGUAGCCGGCCUGGGAGGGUGGACGGGGAAAUUGGGACGGAGAUAAGGCCCAGACUACAACGGGAAGAAGCAGUGGGGAAGAAUGCACAAUGAGCGGAAGCCUGAUGCAGCGAGGCCGAGUGGGGGACGCCGGGUUUCGGAUUGCAAACUUCUGGUGAUCAAGAGCAAGCGACUUGGAUGGAGGGGUGGUGACGGUAGUGGUAGAAGAAGCACCGGCUAACUACGUG